RNAcentral lists this ribosomal RNA (550 nucleotides) under uncultured eukaryote. RNAcentral describes it as "bacterial SSU rRNA". It matches the Rfam family "Eukaryotic small subunit ribosomal RNA", at positions 74 to 551 of the family's 1831-position model. The record is from RNAcentral.
CGGUACAGUGAAACUGCGAAUGGCUCAUUAAAUCAGUUAUGGUUCCUUUGGUCGCUCGCUCCUCUCCGUACUUGGAUAACUGUGGUAAUUCUAGAGCUAAGUACAUGCCGCACGGGCGCUGACCCCCUUCGCGGGGGGGAUGCGUGCAUUUAUCAGAUCAAAACCAACCCGGUCAGACUCCCUCCCGGCUCCCGGCCGGGGGGCGGGCGCCGUGCGCGCUUUGGUGACUCUAGAUAAGCUCUCGGGCUCGAUCGCAUCUGCCCCCCGUGGCGGCGUACGACCCAUUCGAACGUCUGCCCUAUCAACUUUCGAUGGUAGUCUGCUGUGCCUACCAUGGUGACCACGGGUGACGGGGAAUCAGGGUGUCGAUUCCGGCAGCAGGGAUGACCUGAGUAAACGGACUACCACAUCCAAUGAAGAGCAGCUAGGCGCGCAAAUUACCCACUCCCGACCCGGGGAGGUAGUGACGAACAAUAACAAUACAGGACUCUUUCAGAGGCCCUGUAAUUGGAAUGAGUCCACUUUAAAUCCUUUAACGAGGAUCCAUUGG